Long non-coding RNA from Helianthus annuus (common sunflower), 201 nucleotides. RefSeq lists it as uncharacterized. The transcript has 3 exons. Lineage: Eukaryota; Viridiplantae; Streptophyta; Magnoliopsida; Asterales; Asteraceae. The record is from RefSeq and is a predicted model, not a curated record.
GGUGACUGAUACGAUUGAGAUGUUGGUUCGUAUGUGACAUAAAGGUGUUUGUGGAUGUGACACGGACACCAGCAAUGGUAAAGAAAUAGCCACCAAUGUGUAUUUUGAUUAUCUAUCCUUCCCCUCAGGAAUUCAGUCCAUUCGCCUAUCAGAAUCUGUUAUAUCAAACGGGUUGCUGAGCAAGGGUUUCAAGCUAUUGAA